Molecule: long non-coding RNA, 928 nt
Organism: Teleopsis dalmanni
Lineage: Eukaryota; Metazoa; Arthropoda; Insecta; Diptera; Diopsidae
Exons: 3
Source: RefSeq, a predicted model, not a curated record
UUUAUGAACAAAAUUUUUCACUAAGUUUGAGAAACUACUAAAAUUUCACUGUUGACACCGCCGUCUUAGUCAAGGAAUUUUAGCUGCAACUGAAGCCAGAGCCAGGAGUCUUUCUUUCGCGGUAGAACAAAAACAAGAGACCUUCUUCUUGGUGAACGCUCCUUUUAUCUCCUCCAUGGUCAACGGUGUCAGCUGUAAAAACGUUAAAGUUUGUUGACCCAACAUUAAAGCUCCUUUUCUGUACCGCACUGAGCGAAAGUUUAGUUUCACGGCGAAUUUACAUUUCUUUGAGUACCUAUUGCAAUUUAGAAGUGGUUUUUGUCUGAGUUGCGAUCCACUUCUACACCUUUUCUGCACAAAGCUUUCUUCGUAUGACAGGUCUCUUUACUAUUAUUUUGUUUUGAUCUCGUUUGUUUGUUAGCAAUGUGUUGUGCCGGUGAACUUUCACCAAAAUAGAAUACCCAACGAUCGCUCAAGAUAUGUGUCUUAUGUUAUGGUUUUAUUCAAAAAUUGUUCACGCACUAACCAAGGAUUUCCAUAAAAUUUUAAGAUUUGUCAAAUUCAAAGUCACGUUGUUGGUGGCAGAGAAUUGAGGAACCUUCGAGUGAGUGUUACUUGUUGUGUGUUAGGUGGUCGUGUUGUGUUUAGUAGGCAGCUAUACCAACGACGUUGUAACGAUUAAAUUUUAAUUAAUAAAAUUUUGUAUCAUUACAAAUGAUUUGUAAUAAUUUAGACAUAAUAAUGAUGAUAGAUAAUCGAAAACCUUUAUUUUAAUUUAAUUAUUUGUUUUGUUGUGAAAGCGAAUUUUUAUGCCCAUAAUGUUAAUGACUUGAUAUCUUAGCCUUGAACGGUGGGUUAAGAUAUCAACAUUUAGCAAAAACAACAACAACAAUUGUAUAUCACGAGCACACUUUGCUCGUCAUAUGAA